Molecule: non-coding RNA, 3284 nt
Organism: Misgurnus anguillicaudatus (oriental weatherfish)
Lineage: Eukaryota; Metazoa; Chordata; Actinopteri; Cypriniformes; Cobitidae
Source: RefSeq, a predicted model, not a curated record
UGUCUGCGAGUUGCUUUCCAAAUAUACAACUUCUUCUGAUAGUGAUGCAGCUUGAAAAUUAUAGCGCGUGGAUACCUGGUAUCAUCUCUCUUAGCCCCAACACGGUGCACCCUUUCAAAGUCCUCUUCUUUAAGCUCAAGCUUCCACUUUUCCGCAAAGAUUUUAACCAAGAAAGCGGACAUGGGCAAAUCCUUUUCGCUACCUUCCAAAACAUUCACCAAACGUAAAUUGUUCUGGCGAUGCCUAUUUUCCAAUUGAUCAAUAUGAUCCAAAGCAUCUUGUAGCUUCUUUUCAAGCGCACCUGUACGGCUCACCUGCUCCUCCACCAAAACACCAUAAUCAUGAACCUCGGCCAUCGCGCUUUCAAAUCGGUUUUCCAAUGCCUCAAUCCUCUUCACCGCGGAAUCAAGCAGUGUGUUAGUGGAGGUAUUAACUUGCAAUAGUUUGUUGAGUUUAGACUCUAGACCAUCAAACCUGGCGUUGUAAUCGAAGCCAAUUGCUUCUGCUGCUUCUCCCACGUCUGCCAUUCUUUGUCGUUGUUGCCUCGUUUGCGGUCUCCCUUUCGACAUAGGAUCGCUCUUCCUGACUUUUUCCUUUUCUUUCCUUUUCGUCUGGGUUUACUUAAUAUUAAACGUAAGCUUUAAUAGUUGAGGGACUUAAAAAACCACAUGUUUUAAGCCAAAGUUUCUCACGCCACGAGGAGCUCUAGCCCUUACGACCUCUCACGCCGCGCAUGCUCAGUAAAACAAAAAAACCCGAUUCAACUAGAAUCCAUUACACCUUCCAGGACAGCCAGAAACCUGAGUGGUAAUUGAUGAUCAGCUUAGCUUAAUGGAUCAUGUUACCAACACCGCCGGGUCCUGUAUAUUUAUCCUAUACAACCUAAGGAAAAUUAGACCUUUCCUAUCGGAGCAUGAUACACUCUUGUCCUGUCCAGACUGGACUAUUGCAAUGCACUACUUGCCAGACUCCCGGCCUGCACAACUAAACCUCUACAGAUGAUCCAAAAUGCAGCGGCAAGAGUGGUCUUCAAUGAGCCAAAGAGAGUGCACAUCACUCCUCUCUUUGUCAAGUUACAUUGAAUUUGAUACGAACGACUAUAGGAUGCCAAAGCUCUGCUCCUGGUCUGGGUCCACCACGGAGUCAGCACCCUCUCACUUUCACUCGCUUAUACAGACUUAUGUACCCUCUAGAUCCCUGCGCUCUGCCAACGAGCAACGUCUUGUGGUGCCAUCCCAAAAAAAGGAAAAAAUAAAUAAAUCGCAAUCAUGCGACAAGAUCUGCUGAUUUUGUAGGCAUCUUUAAGAAUCAGCUAAAAACCCAUCUCUUUGGCAACACCUGGCUCACUAAUACAUCUCAAUAAUCUGUUUUCUAUCCUUUUCUUUUCUGCUCUUAAAAAAAAACACAAUCAACUUUAGCUUCAUAUACUGUGUUAGGCUUGAUGUAGUAUCAGCCUCAGACGUCACGCCCACAAACUGUUGGCUGAACGUCUGAUGUUUUUCGUACACUUUUCUGGAAACCCUGUGAGAAUGUCUAAAGUCGUCUUUUGAUUGGUUGAAAUAAACCAGAUUUCCAGGAGACGCGAGUGUGGCGAUUCAUUUCGGUCCCUGGAAAACAAAGCUCUGACGUUCCAUUGAGGAAGAGAAUCAGUCGUGUUCACGUGGAUAAUAAUGACCAGGGGCCCGUUCUUCGUACGUCGCUUAUUACAUCCGAGAUCAAAUGACACAUCCGAGAUGACAUCAUCGUUCUAAUCAUGAACCGGCUAAUUGGGUUCUUCGAACACACCUGUUGUGUAUGAUUAGUAUCGCUGGAUUGAGUUAUGUGAGAUAAUUGCGCGUUCAUGUGUUGGUUUAAAAGGGGAUAUGUAUCGAUAGCAGAAACAUUAAUCAGCAACGCUGCUAUUGGCUGUUCAGCAUGGCCAAAGAACGUGCCCAAUUUUUCUCCAAAGCAGAACAAGAGCUUAUAAUUGAAGGUUAUGCCGAAUUUCAGUCGUUAAUUAAAACGACAGGGAACACCUCAAACUCUGCAAAAGCCAGGAGACAGGGCUGGCAAAAAGUAGCAGACAAAUUAAAUGCGUAAGUGCUGUCCAUAGAUGUUUCUACCAUUUUCUACAGUAUGUGUUUUGCCAUUUUAAUAAUUUAAUAUUUACUUUCUUUAAUCUCAGAGCCACCACUGGACCCACUAGAACAUGGGAACAAGUAAAAGUGAAAUACAAGAAUAUUCUACAAAAUGCCACCAAGAAAAAGGCUGAAAAAAAAAACAGGUGGUGGUCCUGCACCACCACAAUAUACCCCAGCAGAGGAGCUGGCCCUUGGAUUGAAUGAAAACCGAACCAUUGUGGAGGGCAUCCCUGGGGGCAGCUCUUCCUCAGACCCAAAGACAGGGACCAGUAGCAGCAACACCUUCAUUACUGGUAGGCUAAAUGAGCUUUCAAUUGUCUUAGUACACUGUAAAAUUAUUUGUUGCUGCCAUAAAUGAAGUAUCAUCCAAAUGGCUGGUACAGUCAUUUCAACUCUUUGUGAAAGUGAAAACUUGUACACUUUUAGUUAAUACAAAAUAUGUUGCCAUGAGUUAUUGAUCACAUUAUAUUUUUUUACAGUGUAGUUAAUUGUAAUGACAAUUCACCCCGCCCACCCCCCUUUUUUUCAGUUUUACAUAAUACACCAACACUUUUACCUGUUCCCAUGCAAGUGGUAGCUGAAGCAUGUGCAGACAGUGAAGAAACCCUCUCAGAAGGCUGUCCUUUGGAGGAAGAACCUGUAAGUGCAUAAGCACCUUUACACUAAUUUGUAUAUAGCCUACUUGUGUACCUAUUCUUUCUGUGUGCAAUUUGAGUUGCAGGAGUGCACACCUAGAGAAAGGCCUAAAGAAAGCCUUGCAGAAGAGUCUGCACAAAGAACUAAUACAGAGGUGGACAGUUUUACUUUUUACUUUUGUUGCAUGAGGCAUGUUUUGACUCAUUUUGUAUUUAUUGUAUUUUUUAUUUCUUUUAAAAAAUGACAGGGUGACAUCCGUUCCCUCUAUAAACGGCAUCUUCAACAAAAAAUUGAGUAUUUUGAGUAAAAAAAAACGCAAAUUAAGAGGAGAAAUUGAACUUGACAACUUGAAUAAGACAAAAAUUGCUCUAGAGAUAGAGUUGCUUCAAAAGGACCUUCAGAGUAAGUGCUAAUACACCAUUUGACACAUAGUUAUGUAAAGUCACCAAUACUACUAUCUCUAAUUGCAGGCAAAAGAUGACGUGCUGGCUUUUCUUUAUAAAGAAUUCUUUAAAUAAAACUCUGAGA